This is a long non-coding RNA of Mustela erminea (ermine), 456 nucleotides long. RefSeq lists it as uncharacterized. The transcript has 3 exons. NCBI's taxonomy places the organism in Eukaryota, Metazoa, Chordata, Mammalia, Carnivora, Mustelidae. The record is from RefSeq and is a predicted model, not a curated record.
GCCAGAGCCGGCACAUCGCGGAGCCCGUGCACACCGGGAGGCGGCCGCCUGGUCUCCCUUGCCCCCACCACCUCACUGGCUGCCUAAAGCCCAGAGAUGAGCCAGACCGCGACAGGCGGUUCCCUGCUGGCUUCAGAGGAGUAUCAAAAUUACACCUGCAGAUGCUCCUGGAAAUUCUUAGGCAUAUCCAAGGAGAGAUUGUAUGCAACGGUGAUUCCCAACUUGUAAAUUGCAUAAACAUCACCUGAGGAUUCCACAAUUCAGAAUUUGACUCAUUAGGUGGGCCUGGGAGUCUACAUUUCUAUCAAGCAUCCAGGAUGACAGUUAAGAAUCCAACAUAAAAUGAAGUCAUAAAGAGAUUCUCAGAACUGGAGGAGAGGGGAAACCUAUCUUCGUUCUGAACAGAAAAAGGCUGGGAUCUUAAGAAGAACAUUAUGCUACAUGAAAUAAACCAGA